GCUCUCGACCAUAGCGGAGGGGGUACACCCGGUCCCAUUCCGAACCCGGAAGUUAAGCCCUCCGUCGCCGAUGAUACUCCGUCAGGGGGAAAGUAGGUGUCGAGAGCU
This 108-nucleotide ribosomal RNA is filed under the name Thermospira aquatica. Lineage: Bacteria; Pseudomonadati; Spirochaetota; Spirochaetia; Brevinematales; Thermospiraceae. The record is from RNAcentral.